This is a long non-coding RNA of Amphimedon queenslandica, 538 nucleotides long. RefSeq lists it as uncharacterized. The record is from RefSeq and is a predicted model, not a curated record. The transcript has 3 exons. Lineage: Eukaryota; Metazoa; Porifera; Demospongiae; Haplosclerida; Niphatidae.
UGUACAGCAUAGAAGCUGACAAAUGCCCAUCUAUACAUGUACAUUCCAAAUUUCCAAUGCAUCAUUCCCUCACUGCAGGUGGCUAGUGAAGAAAGGGAAGAGCAAGAAAGCAGAUAAGACCCUCCACAGGUUACGUAAGGACUACACUGAGGAAGAGAUAAAGGAAGAACUGAACGACAUUGAGUUUACUGUACAGAACUCAAACAAUUCUUUAAUGGAUGUAUUUGCUGACAUAUUUAGAUGGAGGAUACUGGAAAGGUGUUGUUGUCCAUGGUCUAAUGCUUGUAGGGUAAGGACUGCACAAGAAGAGGACACUGUAGUCUGUAGCCAUUGUUGGUAUAAAGAAUGAGAACAAAGAUGAUACGAGUGAUGAGGCUGAAGAUGAUGAAAAUGAGUCACUGAUAAAAGAUACAGACAUCCUUGAGUUAAUUCUUUCAGCUAAAUUCGACAAAUAGCAAUGAAACAAUCUUUUUAUGACAGCAUUAUAAGAUUUACAUACAUUCCAGUAUAUUUUAUGUCUAUUUUAAAAUAAUAUCUA